UGAGUCGGCCAGGCGGUCGCGUCGAACGGUAGUUCCACUGUUGGUGGUUUCCCGUUCGCCGAGGAACGUCCGGGCUCCACAGAGCAGGGUGGUGGCUAACGGCCACCCGGGGUGACCCGCGGGACAGUGCCACAGAAAACAGACCGCCUGUGCAUGCAAGUGCACAGGUAAGGGUGAAACGGUGCGUGUAAGAGACCACCAGCAUCCUUGGUGACAAGGAUGGCUAGGUAAACCCCACCCGGAGCAAGACCAGACAGUGUGUGUUUGAGGGCUGCUCGCCUGAGCACACGGGUAGGUCGCUGGAGCUGCACAGCAAUGUGCAGCCUAGAUGGAUGGCCGCUCAAUGACAGAACCCGGCGUAUCGGCCGACUCAUCCG
Molecule: RNase P RNA, 377 nt
Filed under: Dermatophilus congolensis
Lineage: Bacteria; Bacillati; Actinomycetota; Actinomycetes; Micrococcales; Dermatophilaceae
Also listed under: 1 other name
Description: RNase P RNA component class A
Rfam family: Bacterial RNase P class A
About the family: Ribonuclease P (RNase P) is a ubiquitous endoribonuclease, found in archaea, bacteria and eukarya as well as chloroplasts and mitochondria. Its best characterised activity is the generation of mature 5'-ends of tRNAs by cleaving the 5'-leader elements of precursor-tRNAs. Cellular RNase Ps are ribonucleoproteins.
Source: RNAcentral